Molecule: long non-coding RNA, 8576 nt
Filed under: Olea europaea (common olive)
Lineage: Eukaryota; Viridiplantae; Streptophyta; Magnoliopsida; Lamiales; Oleaceae
Description: long non-coding RNA (OEUR_LNC014466)
Source: RNAcentral
UUAAUUUUUAUUUUUUUGGAGCUUGUGGUGACUGGAAUUUGGAAUGGUUGAAUUUAUGUUUGGGGCUAGGAUUAGAAGAAGUUUGGGGACAAUAUAAGUUUGAAUUGUGAAUGGUCUACAAAAUGUUUGUUGAAAUUCCUAUGAGAACUUGAACUACUUUGGUGGUUUAUUUGAUAACUUUAAGUACUUGCAUUGACAUUGUGAAAUUUGGAACAUUAUUGUGGGUUGAGUUGAGAGUGGUGAAUUGAAUUGUGGUCAAUAUUGUGUUAUUAAGGAGUUCGUCGUAUUGAUUGGAAUUUGUAGUGGCUUAUUGAGAGAAUUUUUGGGUUAGCUUGUGAUGGUUGAAGUUCAUUGAAACUGUAACCUUUUUGGAGUUCACCUUGUCACCUAUUCUUCUUCCAGUUCUUUUAACAGAAGUAAAUUUGCGAGUACUGAAAUGGAUGAAAGAUAUCAAGGCAUGGUAGUUCACAAGAGUUGUAUUCCAGAAUGGGAUUUCAAUAAUCUUGAACUUUAUAUGAGGGAUGAAACUGGGAGUUGUUUACAUAACAACCAUAAACCGGAAAAAUUCAGUAGUGCGGGAAUUUUACACUAACGCUAAGACCACAGGAAUUCAGAAGUCUAUAUGUAGGGUAAGUGGGUUCGUUUUGACAGAACCUCAAUCAUAGCUCCUACAGAUUGCCAAAUAUUAAUGAUGAUAAAUUUUCCAAACUACGUGAAGAAACCCAGAGGACAUAAUUCGAGAGUUGGCUAAUCCAAAAACGAUCAAGCGUAGAUGUCACUAAUUUUCCCAUCGCAAGGAUAUAUGUUGAAUGCAAAACGUGGCAUUAUUUCUUUGUGCUAAACUUUUGUCCUGCAGCAAUUUUAGCAAAGUGACAAAAGAACGAGCAUUAUUGAACUUUCCCAUUUAGAGGGGCCUCAGUGUUGAUGUGGACUCGGUUAGUCAAACAAAUUUUUGGCACAUUCUUAAGGUUCUACAACCGUCUGUUUGGGUUACCCUUCACUAAUAUAUGCUCUAUGUAGAAAAUGGGAAUUGUAACAUCCCUAGCAAGGGAGGUAGUGUAUCCUAAACCAGUAAUGACUAAGAAGAUAAUUUGAUAGUUCAUUAGCAAGCAAAUAUACACAAGCAUCCCACCAUAGGAAGCAGGGGCAUAGCCAUCCCACUACUGUGGGCCUCUACUUGUCAGUAAGCCGAAUUAGGACAUUAUUCGUUGGAUUGAGGCCACGCAAUUGCAGCUCACACAAAGACAGGAUGAGUUGAAAUUGAGACAUAAACAGAGACAUGAUAGGAUCCAACAUCAACUCAAUCAAUUGUAGGUAUCAAUGCACGAUCAAUAUCACGAAUUGUAGAACUUGAUGCAUGUAUAAUAUCAAUAUCAAAAUGAGUUCUACUCAAUUUUGGCCUCUACAUAUCCCCACAUGACAUUUACUGAGAAGCUGACGUUCCCAUAUCAUCCAGCCACUUAGGUAUGACCUCACCAGGGCAAUGUCAAUGACACCAACUGAUGUAUUCAUGGAAGACUUAACCCUCAUUUGUAUUUAUUUUUAUAUUAGAGACAAUUUAUAUUUUAAAUUUGGAGGAUGAAUCAUUAGUUGUUAAUUGCUUUUGUCAAUUGUUUAUUAUAUUGUGUCAUUGUGCUUGUGUGAAAUGAUUUUAUACUAUUUCGCUUGUUUUGUAUACAAAAAACAAUAAUUUCUUUUUAUACAUGCUUGUGUGAGCUAGAUAGACUUGUCGAUUAUGAUGAAUAUAUUUGAGAGCACGUAUUAGUUUAUGAAUUGUGAAUGAAUCAUGUGUCGUAGUUGAAUUUUAUGCUUAUCCAUGUAAAGCAUGAAAAUAUUCAUGCACAACAAUUAAGUUUAGCAUCAUACAUAGCAGGUGGAUUCAUAUGUGUAGGCUGAAUAGAUGAUUUUGGUGUUUAAUCUUUUAACCCGUGGUUCACAAUAUCCUUUAAUUGCAUAUAUAAUGAUUUGGAGUAUUCUAAUUGGUAAAAGAAAUGAUUUAAGAUUGAUGUGAUUCUAUGAAUAUUGAAAAAAGCUGUGCCGAGUGUCUUUGAGUUUCAAGUAUGAACUUGGUGAUGACCAAGUGCCAAGGAUCUAAUCCCUAUAAAUUUUGCUUGUCUUUUAUAAAAAAUGAGCAUUGUACUUACUACUUAUUUAGUUUACUCCUCACUCCUACACCUUUUUUACUAGAAUUAGUAAGGGUAUCUUGAAACUUGGUACCCUUUAGUAUUCAAAAAUUGGAGAGUUACCAUCUCAAAGCUCAGUUCAAGAGGAGAAAAAAAAUGGUGAGAUCAAAAUUGAGCUUAAAAAAACUAUAUACAAGUGCGCAAGAAAAAAUUGAUUGUUGUGUACACAAAUAACUAGUGAUUGAAUCACUUGGUAUAAACUUGAUUGUUGAAACACUUAUAUUUUGGGAAAAUCGUGACGUUGCCAGUCCACUACUAAAAAACAGUUUUUCAGCUACGGAAAAUUACCAACGGAUGCAAUCCAUUGGUAAUUAAAAACGGAUUAUCCGUUGGUAAAAGUAAUUCACUUUUAGCUACGAUAAUCAGCAACGGAUUUUCCGUUGGUAAAGAUGAUAUCUCUUUACCAACGGAUAUUCCGUGCCUAAUAUAACCAUUUAACAUUUGGAUCUUUCACCUACGGAUAUUCCGUUGGCAAUUUACAGAAAAUUACCAACGGAUGCAAUCCGUUGGUAAUUAGAAACGGAUUAUCCGUUGGUAAAAGUAAUUCACUUUUAGCUACGAUAAUCAGCAACAUCUUUGGAGUGGUUAGUUGUUGAAUCUCAUGGCAGCAUUACUACACGGGUAGCAAAAGUAGCAAAAAUCCGAUUGAAAAUUCAAACAUUCCAAAAAGAGAUGGGGCAAGUUAUCAUGAUGCAUGAAACUGAUUCAAAGAGCUAAUGUAAAAGUGUCCAAAUCAUGAAAUCACCAUAAGUAAUCAAGUUCAAUGUUUCUACAUCGAACUUUCACCAUUGUCAAAAUCUCAAGUGGAUUUUCUUUGCAUAUGAAUCAAUUAUUGAAAAAUCGAUUCAAUAAUGCAUGGAUUUGUUUGAGUAAAUUUCCAUUAUACAUUCAAUGUUCUCCUUAGGAAGAGUAGUAACACAGAAGGCAGGUGAAAUUUAUGAAUUAGACAGCACAACAUCUACCAAUACACAAAUAGCUGCUUUGACAAAAUAGAUAAAGUUACUGUUGAAAUUACAAACACGUCGAGCACAUGCAAUGAUGGCCAAUCCAUCAUGUAAAAGUUAUGGAGCCAAUCAUCUCAUAGAGAAUUGCUUAUCUAUGGGUUUUCUCGAGGAAUUAGUGAACUUCGUUCAGAAUGGCUCCCGCAAUUUUAACCCAUAUGGACAAAAACAUAUAAUCCUAGAUAGAGACAACACACGAACUUUAGAUAGUCUGAUGAUCAGUAAGGGAAUAAUUCAAAUAAUGCCCAACACGAGAAAAAAUCCAGUUUGGAAGAGAUAUUCAAUUAGUACAUGUAAAAGACAGACAAGGUGUUCCAACAAAUUGAUACAAACUUUUAGAAUUGGCAAGCAUCUAUCAAAAAGUUGGAAGAUGAUUCAAAUAUUCCUCUAAUCUUAUGAAGGCCUUUAUUGGCCACUGGAAGAGCUCUGAUUGAUGAAUAUGAUGGAAAGAUGAUCCUAAGAGUGGACAAUGAACAGAUCAUAUUCAAUGUGUUCAAGGCGAUAAAAUAUCCAUUGACUUCUAAUACUUGCUGCCAAAUAGAUGUCUUUGAUGAGCUUGUAGCUGUACUUUUGAUGCAGAAUAUCCGGCAUUCAUAUAUGACGCACAAAUUGAACAAAUAGAAUAUGAGAUUAUAGAAAGAGAAGAAUGUGCUAUAUAGUUGGUAGAACAAUCUAUGGGAAGAGACAUUGACAAUGUGAGUCUCUUUGUGCCAAUCCAUCACUGUCGCUAUCCUCAGUGGAGAAGGCCCCAACUCUUGACUUAAAAUCUUUGUAAUCACAUCUAUGCUAUGCUUAUUCGGGAGAUUCCAUUGCACUUCCAAAAAUCAUUGCAAAUGAUAUGACAGAAGAAGAGGAGAAAAAAAAUAUUGGAGGUACUAAUGCUGCAAUUGGAUGGACAAUAACUGAUAUUAGAGGAAUUAGUCAUACCUUUGCAUGCACAAAAUCUUAAUAGAGGAUGAAUCAAAGCCAUCAGUAGAAGGACAUCGCACAUUAAAUCCAACUUUUAAAGAAGUGGUGAGAAAAGAAGUGCUAAAAUUGCUAGAUGCAGGGAUUAUUUACCCCAUCUCAGAUAGUUCUUAGGUAAGCUUAGUACAUGUGGUGCCUAAGAAGAUGAGAUUGUAGUGGAGACGAAUGAAAACAAUGAGCUCAUUCCAACAAGGGUAGUAACUGAAUGGAAAGUAUAUAUUGAUUACAGGAAGUUGACUAAUGUCAUAAGAAAAGAUCAUUUCCCAUUCUCCUUCAUUGAUCAAAUGUUGGAAAAGUUAGCUGGUCACUCACAUUAUUGCUUUCUGGAUGGAUAUUCAGUGUAUAACCAAAUAGAAAUUGCUCCAAAAGACUAGGAAAAACCAACCUUCAUAUGCCCAUAUAGUAGGUUUUCCUUUAGGAGAAUGCCUUUUAGUUAUGCAUCGCACCUGCAACUUUUCAACGCUACAUGACACCCAUAUUAUCUGACAUGGUGGAAAAAUAUAUCAAGGUAUCUAUUGAUGACUUUUCAGUAUUUGGAUAUUCUUUUGAUAGUUGCUUCAAACAUCUAUCUCUAGUGUUAUAAAGGUGUAAAGAAAGGAAUCUAGUGCUUAAUUGGGAGAAGUUUCAUUUUAUGGUGAAAGAAUGAAUAGUCCUAGGACAUAAGAUAUCUUCACGGGGAAAAAUCCAAAAUAUAUGUGAUUGAAAAAUUGCAGCCACCAAAUUCAUUUAAGGGGAUUAGAAGCAUUUUAGGCAUGCAGGGUUCUAUAGAAGAUUCAUUUAGGACCGUUCAAGGGUCAAAAACCUUAUGCAGCCUACUGGAGAAAGAUAUGCCAGUUAACUUUUUUGAUAAGUGUUUAAAUGACUUUAAUACUUUGAAAGAAAAGUUAACCUCAUCACUUGUUAUACUGCCACCAAAGUGGGAACCACCUUUUGAGCUUAUAUGUGAUGCCAGAGAUUAUAAAGUGGGAGCAGUGCUUAGACAAUGCAAGGGAAAGAUAGUGUAUGUCAUUUAUUACACCUGAAAGACUUUGAAAGAUGCUUAGAUUAAUUAUGCAACAACUAAAAAGGAGAUUCUAAUAUUAGUACUUGCCUUUGACAAAUUUCGCUCCGUUUAAUUGGGUCAGAGGACAUAGUUUAUACAGACCAUGCAGCAUUGAAAUAUCUUUUUGAGAAAAAAUAUAUAAAGCCCAGGUUGAUUUGAUGGUUUCUAUUACUACACGAGAUUGAUAUUGAAAUUCAUGAUAACACAGGAAAAAAAUCAGGUAAAGAUCAUGUAUAAAGGUUUGAACAAUCAAAAGGAUUACUUAAUUUGUAUAUCCAUAAAAUAUUUUCAGAUGAACAAUUAUUGCAGGUAGAGAAAGUACCGUAGUACAUAGAUAUUGUUAAUUACUUAGCUUGUGGUAAUAUGGAUCUAGACAUUACUUAUCAGUAGAAUAAGCUUUUCCAUGAAGUUAAAUUCUAUUAUUGGAAUGAUCUAAACUUAAACAGUAGAGGGACAAAUCAAAUCAAUAGAAGAUUCGUACCAGGAGAUGAGAUGAAGCCAAUCUUAUCACAGACUUAUGCUUCAACUUAUGAAGGACAUUUUAGCCCUACAAAAAUAGCAGCGAAGGUGCUUCAGUGCGGUUUCUUUUAGCCAUCAUUACUUAAAGAUUGUUAUAGCUUCUGUAGAUCAUGUAAUAAGUGCUAAAGAAUAAAUAACAUAUUAGCCUGUCAUGAGAUGCCACUAAACAAUAUUCUGGAAGUGGAAAUAUUUGAUGUAUGGGAUAUUGAUUUUAUAGGACCUUAUCUUUUAUCCAAUAAUAACGAUACAUUUUAGUGGCAAUGGACUACGUAUCAAAAUGGAAAGAAGCCAACAUCUUGCCCACUAAUGAUGCAAAGGUGUUGGUAGUCUUUAUAAAGAAAUAUAUUUUCAACCGUUAUGGAUCACCUAAUGCCAUAAUAAGUGAUGGUGGAACUCACCUCAGUGAUCGGCUAUUCAAGGUAGUGUUUCACAAAUAUGAGGUACAACAUCGAAUUGUCAUACUCAUCACCUUCAUACAAGUGGACAGGUUGAAACUUCUAAUAGACAGCUAAAAAGAAUCUUGGAACCUGCGAUGAAUGCAUCUCGAAAAGAUUGGUCCAAGAAUUAGGACGAUGCUUUGUGGGCCUAUCGACCUUCUAUAGGACAUUUAUUGUCACCAUGUUAAAUAGCGUUUGGAAAAGCAUGCCACUUACUAGCUGAGUUUGAGCAUAAAGCAUGCUGGCGUUGAAACAAUAGAGCACGGACUUAGAAAAGGCUAGAAAAGUGAGAAUCUUAUAGCUAUAUGAAUUAGAAGAAUUCAGAACAUAGGCCUAUGAAAACGCAUCCACCUAUAAAGAAAGGAUAAAGUAAUAGCAUGACAAAAAUAUUCAACAUUGAGUUUUCAGAGUAGGAGAUCAAGUCUUCUUAUUCAACUCUUGAUUGAAACUCUUUCUAGGUAAGCUAAAAUCGAGAUAGUCCAAACAUAUCACGGUAUUUCAAGGGUUUUCGUAUGGUGUAGUAGAAUUACAUCACCCAACACUGGAAAAUUUCAAAGUUAAUGAACAAUGCAUCAAACACUACAUUGUUUCAGAAUGAUAACGGUACAAGGUCAAGCCAAUAACUUUAAAGAAGCACUUUUUAGGAGGAAACUCAAGCUCUAUCCUUUACUAUUUACUUGGUUUUCAAUUUUUGGAUUUUUUUCCUUUUAUUGUUUAUAACAUUCUCGUUGUGCUUUGUGGAACAAAUCUCAAGUUUGGAUAUUAAACCAUGCAUGGACAGGACAUAAAAAUUCAAGUCAGCAAGUUUGGAGGAGUAUGUAAAAUUCAAAAUGGAGAAAGAAUGUUGAAAACACGUAAAAAAAACUCAUAAGUCAAUGAAAAAGAAACAAAUAAAUCCUACCCGAAUUGGGAUGCUGAGUGCCACACCACUAAGGCCAUGAUGCCCAAAACCCCCUAAAAUAGAUCAGUGCCACUAUCCCGGCAUCACGACACCCCAACCAGCCUUUCCAUACAAACUCGUGGCUCAACAGUGCCACUAUCUCAGCGCCAUGGUGCCAUUGACCAGCCACCAUCCUAUUUUUUUUCUCUUUUUUUCUUUUUUCUACAUUACAACUUCUAUUUAAUAACACCCCUCCCCAUACUAUUUUUAUUUUGUACUUUUCCACAAUCCUACAUAACAUCAAUCUCCCCUCAUUCCCAAGUUAUUCCAAGCCCAUUUGUUCUUGACACACAUGUGCGCGCCUCCAAGCCCAUUUGUUCUUGACACACAUGCACGCGCACGGCGCACACACACACACUCUCUCUCUCUCUCUCUCUCUCUCUCUCUCACCCUUCCCAAAAUCCUGUACUGAACUCCUCAAAAUCAUUGCAUUCACCUCAAUUUCUUUUAGAUCACUACACUACAACAUGAAAAGUCAUCCAUUAGAACAAAUCUCCCACCUCCAUAGCCACAUCUAACCUGAUUCGAUCCGAAUUGUUCCAUUUCUUUUCUCCAAAAUUUAAUUUCCACAACCUUCUAAUAAGUAGGUAUUCUACUCUAGGAGGGCUACACAAAGGAUGCCGAGUAUCUAAACUUGGGAAAUUUAUGAUACACUAUGUCAUAUUACACUUGGUGGUUGGAUGUGUGAAGCAAGAGUAGUUAUUUUUUAUUUUUUUGGAGCUUGGGGUGGACUGGAAUUUGGAAUGGUUGAAUUUACGUUUGGGGCUCGGAUUAGAAGAAGUUUGGGGACAAUAUAAGUUUGAAUUGUGAAUGGUCUACAAAAUGUUUGUUGAAAUUCCUAUGAGAACUUGAACUACUUUGGUGGUUUAUUUGAUAACUUUAAGUACUUGCAUUGACAUUGUGAAAUUUGGAACAUUAUUGUGGGUUGAGUUGAGAGUGGUGAAUUGAAUUGUGGUCAAUAUUGUGUUAUUAAGGAGUUCGUCGUUUUGAUUGGAAUUUGUAGUGGCUUAUUGAGAGAAUUUUUGGGUUAGCUUGUGAUGGUUGAAGUUCAUUGAAACUGUUACCUUUUUGGAGUUCACCUUGUCACCUAUUCUUCUUCCAGUUCUUUUAACAGAAGUAAAUUUGCGAGUACUGAAAUGGAUGAAAGAUAUCAAGGCAUGGUAGUUCACAAGAGUUGUAUUCCAGAAUGGGAUUUCAAUAAUCUUGAACUUUAUAUGAGGGAUGAAACUGGGAGUUGUUUACAUAACAACCAUAAACCGGAAAAAUUCAGUAGUGCGGGAAUUUUACACUAACGCUAAGACCACAGGAAUUCAGAAGUCUAUAUGUAGGGUAAGUGGGUUCGUUUUGACAGAACCUCAAUCAUAGCUUCUACAGAUUGCCAAAUAUUAAUGAUGAUAAAUUUUCCAAACUACGUGAAGAAACCCAGAGGACAUAAUUCGAGAGUUGGCUAAUCCAAAAACGAUCAAGCGUAGAUGUCACUAAUUUUCC